RNAcentral lists this ribosomal RNA (579 nucleotides) under Klebsiella pneumoniae. Its description in RNAcentral is "bacterial SSU rRNA". It matches the Rfam family "Bacterial small subunit ribosomal RNA", at positions 75 to 652 of the family's 1533-position model. The record is from RNAcentral. Lineage: Bacteria; Pseudomonadati; Pseudomonadota; Gammaproteobacteria; Enterobacterales; Enterobacteriaceae.
CUUGCUCUCGGGUGACGAGCGGCGGACGGGUGAGUAAUGUCUGGGAAACUGCCUGAUGGAGGGGGAUAACUACUGGAAACGGUAGCUAAUACCGCAUAACGUCGCAAGACCAAAGUGGGGGACCUUCGGGCCUCAUGCCAUCAGAUGUGCCCAGAUGGGAUUAGCUAGUAGGUGGGGUAACGGCUCACCUAGGCGACGAUCCCUAGCUGGUCUGAGAGGAUGACCAGCCACACUGGAACUGAGACACGGUCCAGACUCCUACGGGAGGCAGCAGUGGGGAAUAUUGCACAAUGGGCGCAAGCCUGAUGCAGCCAUGCCGCGUGUGUGAAGAAGGCCUUCGGGUUGUAAAGCACUUUCAGCGGGGAGGAAGGCGAUAAGGUUAAUAACCUUGUCGAUUGACGUUACCCGCAGAAGAAGCACCGGCUAACUCCGUGCCAGCAGCCGCGGUAAUACGGAGGGUGCAAGCGUUAAUCGGAAUUACUGGGCGUAAAGCGCACGCAGGCGGUCUGUCAAGUCGGAUGUGAAAUCCCCGGGCUCAACCUGGGAACUGCAUUCGAAACUGGCAGGCUAGAGUCUUGU